GUGAACCUCACCCGGCCCGGACACCGCGAGGAUUGACAGACUGAGAGCUCUUUCUCGAUUCGGUGGGUGGUGGUGCAUGGCCGUUCUUAGUUGGUGGAGCGAUCUGUCUGGUUAAUUCCGAUAACGAACGAGACCCUAACUAGCCCUCGGGUCCUGCUUCUGUUGGGCCCGACGGAAUGAUUCGCUUCUUAGAUGGACUCGCGGCGCCUAGCCGCACGAAGGGGGGCGAUAA
This 232-nucleotide ribosomal RNA is filed under the name uncultured eukaryote. RNAcentral's name for it is "partial 18S ribosomal RNA". It matches the Rfam family "Eukaryotic small subunit ribosomal RNA", at positions 1208 to 1456 of the family's 1831-position model. The record is from RNAcentral.